UACGAAGGGGGCUAGCGUUGUUCGGAAUCACUGGGCGUAAAGCGCACGUAGGCGGAUUGUUAAGUCGGGGGUGAAAUCCUGAGGCUCAACCUCAGAACUGCCUUCGAUACUGGCAAUCUCGAGUCCGGAAGAGGUUGGUGGAACAGCUAGUGUAGAGGUGAAAUUCGUAGAUAUUAGCUAGAACACCGGUGGCGAAGGCGACAUCCUGGACCGGUAUUGACGCUGAGGCGCGAAAGCCAGGGGAGCAAACGGG
Molecule: ribosomal RNA, 253 nt
Filed under: uncultured bacterium
Lineage: Bacteria
Description: partial 16S ribosomal RNA
Rfam family: Bacterial small subunit ribosomal RNA
Source: RNAcentral